AUACGGAGGUGGCGAGCGUUACUCGGUAUGACUGGGUGUAAAGGGUCCGUAGGCGGCCUUGUAAGUGAAAGGUGAAAUCUUUCGGCUCAACCGAAAAACUGCCUUUCAAACUAUUUGGCUUGAGGAUGAAAGAGGAGAGUGGAACUGUUGGUGUAAAGGUGAAAUUUGUGGAUAUCAACAGGAACGCCUGUGGGGAAGCCGACUCUCUGGUUCAUUCCUGACGCUGAGGGACGAAAGCUAGGGGAGCGAACAGGAUUAGAUACCCUGGUAGUCCUAGCUGUAAACGAUGGGCACUAGGUGUCUGCUCUUUUAGAGUAGGUGCCGCAGUUAACACAUUAAGUGCCCCACCUGGGGACUACGGCCGCAAGGCUAAA
Molecule: ribosomal RNA, 374 nt
Filed under: uncultured bacterium
Lineage: Bacteria
Description: bacterial SSU rRNA
Rfam family: Bacterial small subunit ribosomal RNA
Source: RNAcentral